This 245-nucleotide ribosomal RNA is filed under the name uncultured bacterium. RNAcentral's name for it is "partial 16S ribosomal RNA". It matches the Rfam family "Bacterial small subunit ribosomal RNA", at positions 528 to 772 of the family's 1533-position model. The record is from RNAcentral.
GAAGGUCCGGGCGUUAUCCGGAUUUAUUGGGUUUAAAGGGAGCGUAGGCCGCCUUUUAAGCGUGUUGUGAAAUGUAGGGGCUCAACCUCUGCACUGCAGCGCGAACUGGAGGGCUUGAGUACACGCAAAGCAGGCGGAAUUCGUGGUGUAGCGGUGAAAUGCUUAGAUAUCACGAAGAACUCCGAUUGCGAAGGCAGCUUGCUGGAGUGUAACUGACGCUGAAGCUCGAAAGCGCGGGUAUCGAA